UAUUGUCAAAAACUACUAUCUGAAGUAUGAUUUGGAAAGUAGUUUUGGAGUAUGGGAGUAUGCAGGUUCAUAUUUUAUUUGGACUAGCUCUCCUGAAAUGGAUUAGCAAAAAGCUGAUUAUGAACCUUUAUUGGUGUGAUAAAGUUGAUUGAUCACCAGGAAAUGAAAAAAGGGGGAACAUUUUGGAGCAUUUUGCUGGUAAUGAGAGAAAUGAUAA
This 217-nucleotide unclassified non-coding RNA is filed under the name uncultured Amanita. Its description in RNAcentral is "sequence contains ITS2". The record is from RNAcentral. Lineage: Eukaryota; Fungi; Basidiomycota; Agaricomycetes; Agaricales; Amanitaceae.